RNAcentral lists this ribosomal RNA (402 nucleotides) under uncultured bacterium. Its description in RNAcentral is "bacterial SSU rRNA". It matches the Rfam family "Bacterial small subunit ribosomal RNA", at positions 355 to 774 of the family's 1533-position model. The record is from RNAcentral.
UGGGGAAUCUUGCACAAUGGGGGCAACCCUGAUGCAGCGACGCCGCGUGAGCGAUGAAGCCCUUCGGGGCGUAAAGCUCUUUCGACCGGAACGAUAAUGACGGUACCGGGAGAAGAAGCUGCGGCUAACUACGUGCCAGCAGCCGCGGUAAUACGUAGGCAGCAAGCGUUGUUCGGAGUUACUGGGCGUAAAGCGUGCGCAGGCGGUUUUGUAAGACAGAUGUGAAAUCCCCGGGCUUAACCUGGGAACUGCGUUUGUGACUGCAAGGCUGGAGGACGGCAGAGGGAGGUGGAAUUCCACGUUUAGCAGUGAAAUGCGUAGAGAUGUGGAGGAACACCGAUGGCGAAGGCAGCCCCCUGGGCCUGUACUGACGCUCAUGCACGAAAGCGUGGGGAGCAAACA